CAGUCGCCGCGGGAAUACAGAGGGUGCGAGCGUUAAUCGGAUUUACUGGGCGUAAAGCGUGCGUAGGCGGAUUCUUAAGUCGGAUGUGAAAUCCCUGAGCUUAACUUAGGAAUUGCAUUCGAUACUGGGAAGCUAGAGUAUGGGAGAGGAUGGUAGAAUUCCAGGUGUAGCGGUGAAAUGCGUAGAGAUCUGGAGGAAUACCGAUGGCGAAGGCAGCCAUCUGGCCUAAUACUGACGCUGAGGUACGAAAGCAUGGGGAGCAAACAGGAUUAGAUACCCGUGUAGUCCCUGUCUCUUAUAC
RNAcentral lists this ribosomal RNA (301 nucleotides) under uncultured bacterium. RNAcentral describes it as "partial 16S ribosomal RNA". It matches the Rfam family "Bacterial small subunit ribosomal RNA", at positions 509 to 807 of the family's 1533-position model. The record is from RNAcentral.